CACAAUGGGCGAAAGCCUGAUGCAGCGACGCCGCGUGAGGGAUGACGGCCUUCGGUUGUAACCUCUUUCAGCAGGGAAGAAGCGAAAGUGACGGUACCUGCAGAAGAAGCACCGGCUAACUACGUGCCAGCAGCCGCGGUAAUACGUAGGGUGCGAGCGUUGUCCGGAAUUAUUGGGCGUAAAGAGCUUGUAGGCGGUUUGUCGCGUCGGAAGUGUAAUCUUGGGGCUUAACCCUGAGCGUGCUUUCGGUACGGGUAGUCGUAGGAGG
This 268-nucleotide ribosomal RNA is filed under the name uncultured bacterium. RNAcentral describes it as "partial 16S ribosomal RNA". It matches the Rfam family "Bacterial small subunit ribosomal RNA", at positions 367 to 649 of the family's 1533-position model. The record is from RNAcentral.